Molecule: ribosomal RNA, 413 nt
Filed under: uncultured bacterium
Lineage: Bacteria
Description: bacterial SSU rRNA
Rfam family: Bacterial small subunit ribosomal RNA
Source: RNAcentral
AAUGAACGUUGGCGGCGUGGAUUAGGCAUGCAAGUCGAGCGCGAACCGUAGCAAUACGGGGAGAGCGGCGAAAGGGAGAGGAAUACGUGGAUACCUACCCUCAGGUUCAGGAUAGCUAUGGGAAACUAUAGGUAAUACUGAAUAAUAUCUCCGGAUCAAAGGUGUGAUUCCACCUGAGGAGGGGUCCGCGUCCUAUUAGCUAGUUGGUGAGGUAACGGCUCACCAAGGCGAAGAUGGGUACGGGAUGUGAGAGCAUGAUCCCGCUCACUGGGACUGAGACACUGCCCAGACACCUACGGGUGGCUGCAGUCGAGAAUCUUCGGCAAUGGGGGAAACCCUGACCGAGCGACGCCGCGUGCGAGAUGAAGGCCUUCGGGUUGUAAAUCGCUGUCAGUGGGGAGGAAAGUGCCAGU